UACGAAGGGGGCUAGCGUUGUUCGGAAUUACUGGGCGUAAAGCGCGCGCAGGCGGCUAUCCAAGUCAGUGGUGAAAGCCCGGAGCUCAACUCCGGAACUGCCAUUGAAACUGUUUAGCUUGAGGAUGAGAGAGGUGAGUGGAAUUCCCAGUGUAGAGGUGAAAUUCGUAGAUAUUGGGAAGAGCACCGGUGGCGAAGGCGGCUCACUGGCUCAUUACUGACGCUCAGGCGCGAUAGCGUGGGGAUCAAACAGG
RNAcentral lists this ribosomal RNA (253 nucleotides) under uncultured bacterium. RNAcentral describes it as "partial 16S ribosomal RNA". It matches the Rfam family "Bacterial small subunit ribosomal RNA", at positions 524 to 776 of the family's 1533-position model. The record is from RNAcentral.